This 494-nucleotide ribosomal RNA is filed under the name uncultured bacterium. RNAcentral's name for it is "partial 16S ribosomal RNA". It matches the Rfam family "Bacterial small subunit ribosomal RNA", at positions 28 to 507 of the family's 1533-position model. The record is from RNAcentral.
GACGAACGCUGGCGGCGUGCUUAACACAUGCCAGUCGAACGGUGAAGCGCCUUCCUUUUUGGUGGGUGUGGAUGAGUGGCGAACGGGUGAGUAACACGUGAGUAACCUGCCCCCUUCUUCUGGAUAACCGCAUGAAAGUGUGGCUAAUACGGGAUAUUCUGGGUCUGUCGCAUGAUGGGUCUGGGAAAGAUAUUGUUUCGGUGGGGGAUGGGCUCGCGGCCUAUCAGCUUGUUGGUGGGGUGAUGGCCUACCAAGGCGGUGACGGGUAGCCGGCCUGAGAGGGUGGACGGUCACACUGGGACUGAGACACGGCCCAGACUCCUACGGGAGGCAGCAGUGGGGAAUAUUGCACAAUGGGCGCAAGCCUGAUGCAGCGACGCCGCGUGAGGGAUGGAGGCCUUCGGGUUGUGAACCCCUUUCGCCAGUGAAGCAGGCCUGCCUCGUUUGUGGGUGGGUUGACGGUAGCUGGAUAAGAAGCGCCGGCUAACUACGUG